Molecule: long non-coding RNA, 1801 nt
Organism: Equus caballus (horse)
Lineage: Eukaryota; Metazoa; Chordata; Mammalia; Perissodactyla; Equidae
Source: Ensembl
CCCAGUGAAACUGGGGUCCUGGGCCUGAGAGAACCUGGAGGAGGCCGGGUCUCCCCAAAACCUCGGCAGGACAAAGUCAGUUCCCUGGUGGAUUCUUCCUGUAGGUGUGAAAUGCACAUGUGGGAGGACUUUCUGGGUUGAGCUAAUCUCGAUAAAGUCUCGUCCCCCCUGCGAGUUUAGCUGAAUCCUUACUAGCAGCUCUUCAAGGGCAGAGAGUAUGUCAUUCUGUUCCUAGCACAGUGCCUGGCACCCAGAAGGAGUGAAAAAUGUGACUUGGUGGCUGAAGAGGUGAAUUCUCCCAGCUGGGAUUUGUCUGACUCUCAAAAGAGCCGUGCCGUGUCCCAUUCCCAGGGUAAGGACUGUGACCACGUUGAGGAAAGGGGCGGGGAGGGGGCUGCCAGGUUUGGAUCUGCUGCAAACCCACCCACCUGUCACCCUUGGCACAUUCCGUGGGUGGCUGUAUCCGUUCACCAAGGAUGCUUUGGUUGCAAGCAAGAGAAGCUGGCUUUGGCCAGCCUGGUCGCACUAAGUCUAUGGAAGGCUGUGGGGUGACUCUGGGAACAAAACGAAGGGCUGAGGGCCCUGACAGCCCCGUGGUUAAAGUUCGGUGAGCUCUGCUUUGGUGGCUUGGGUUCAGUUCCCAGGCACAGACCUACACCACUUGUCUAUCAGCAGCCACACUGUGGCAGCAGCUCACACAGAAGAACCAGAAGAACUUACAAUGAUGCACAACUAUGUGCUCAGGCUGUGGCAGGGGGAAAGAAGAAAAAAGGGGGAAGACUGGCAAGUGAUGUUAGCUCAGGGCAAAUCUUCCCCAGCAAAAAAAAAAAAAGAAAAAGGAAGAGCUGAGGGAGCAGGCUGUGGAAGAACAAGAUGGGGGUCAGCUCUGGGGUCCAGGGAGCAGGAACUCCUGGGGGACAUCUCCAGGGCUUAUGUUUUAGGGUGACAGCCCAAUCGUUCUUGUGUCUUGGAUCACUCAUCUCAAGAUGAAAUUUCCCAGGAGACAAGUCUGAGCUUGAGCCUCAUGUCCACCCUCCAGCCAGAGCACCUUGAUUGUCUGUUCCUUUGGGAUGGCAACACAGCGGGCGUGGAAUCCUCAAGGGAAAAUCGAGGGCCUGCGGCAGGAGAGUGGGGAAACGGGCGCAGGCCAGCCCACGGCGCCAGCAGCCAAUGUCCACGUGUUCCUCAUCUUGGGAUCCUCACAGCUGGGACUUAGUAGGUCUUCAAGAAAUGUCACACUUGCCCGACUUACUUCCUCCUCGAGCCCCCCUCCCCCCACUUGAGGCAGAAUGGCUUCCUCCCUCCCCUUCAUCCUACGGGACUUUGUUGUUACUUCUGUCCACCGGUUAGGUCGUUAGAGUUGAUUUUUGUGCUUUUUGCUUCUUCGAGUUGGAACUGUGUCUCAUUCAGGUCUGUUUCCUCCAUGGCCAACUGAGUUGUGGACACGGAGUGGAAGCUCAGGAAAUGUUUGUUGAAUGGAUGAAUGACCGGACGGGUGUGUUCACAGGAAGAAAGCUCCAGUCAAACCAACAUAUUUGUCUUUAAGGUAUAAGAGAAAACUGUAUAUAUGUCAAGUAAAAGUACUCAGAACUUGGAAAUAGGGAUCGGCCCCGUGGCCGAGUGGUUAAGUUCACACGCUCCGCCCAGGGUUUCACAGGUUCGGAUCCUGGGUGCGGACAUGGCACUGCUCAUCAGGCCGUGCUGAGGCGGCGUCCCACAUGCUACAACCAGAAGGACCCACAACUAAAAAUAUACAACUAUGUACCAGGGGGAUUUGGGGAGAAAGAAAAAAAAGAAAAAA